GACGAAUCAAAUUUACUGGGAAAAAACACGGAAAAAUCAUUUCAAGGAUGACUUCACUAAGGUGGAGCACAGAGGAGCCCCUUGUACAGUCGGGUUAGCAAAGGACUGCGAGAAGAGAAAAGAACAUUUACACCUAAAUUUCCAAACCAAGGGCCAGAAAUAAUAUUUUACAAUAUACGGUCUCCAGACGUUCCGUUGCUGGCUUUAAGGAAACUUCCAAGUCGUAAGGGUGAGGUAAAAGUUGCCAGCUGCGAGGUGGUUUCCGUUGUAGAUAGAACGUAAAACGCCAUGUACAGGAAGA
Molecule: long non-coding RNA, 301 nt
Organism: Hyla sarda
Lineage: Eukaryota; Metazoa; Chordata; Amphibia; Anura; Hylidae
Exons: 3
Source: RefSeq, a predicted model, not a curated record